This 693-nucleotide ribosomal RNA is filed under the name Neisseria meningitidis. RNAcentral describes it as "bacterial SSU rRNA". It matches the Rfam family "Bacterial small subunit ribosomal RNA", at positions 843 to 1533 of the family's 1533-position model. The record is from RNAcentral. Lineage: Bacteria; Pseudomonadati; Pseudomonadota; Betaproteobacteria; Neisseriales; Neisseriaceae.
GUAGCGUAGCUAACGCGUGAAAUUGACCGCCUGGGGAGUACGGUCGCAAGAUUAAAACUCAAAGGAAUUGACGGGGACCCGCACAAGCGGUGGAUGAUGUGGAUUAAUUCGAUGCAACGCGAAGAACCUUACCUGGUCUUGACAUGUACGGAAUCCUCCGGAGACGGAGGAGUGCCUUCGGGAGCCGUAACACAGGUGCUGCAUGGCUGUCGUCAGCUCGUGUCGUGAGAUGUUGGGUUAAGUCCCGCAACGAGCGCAACCCUUGUCAUUAGUUGCCAUCAUUCAGUUGGGCACUCUAAUGAGACUGCCGGUGACAAGCCGGAGGAAGGUGGGGAUGACGUCAAGUCCUCAUGGCCCUUAUGACCAGGGCUUCACACGUCAUACAAUGGUCGGUACAGAGGGUAGCCAAGCCGCGAGGCGGAGCCAAUCUCACAAAACCGAUCGUAGUCCGGAUUGCACUCUGCAACUCGAGUGCAUGAAGUCGGAAUCGCUAGUAAUCGCAGGUCAGCAUACUGCGGUGAAUACGUUCCCGGGUCUUGUACACACCGCCCGUCACACCAUGGGAGUGGGGGAUACCAGAAGUAGGUAGGAUAACCGCAAGGAGUCCGCUUACCACGGUAUGCUUCAUGACUGGGGUGAAGUCGUAACAAGGUAGCCGUAGGGGAACCUGCGGCUGGAUCACCUCCUUUCUAG